Molecule: long non-coding RNA, 221 nt
Filed under: Nicotiana benthamiana
Lineage: Eukaryota; Viridiplantae; Streptophyta; Magnoliopsida; Solanales; Solanaceae
Description: long non-coding RNA (NBEN_LNC032395)
Source: RNAcentral
UUCAAAGCUUUCAAGCUUUUUCAUGGCUAUCAAUGGUGGAAAAUAUAUGGAAAAGGAGAGAAUUACGCUGCAAUGGAUUUUCUUCCGUUUUAAAUUUCGAAGUUAAUGGUGAUAGAAUCACCAUUAAAUCCGAUUCCUACAAAUUUGGCGCCUUUUUAGGGUAGAAUCUAUCUAUUUUUGGUUUGGUACAAAUUUUGUAGCAAAACUAUAGACUAGACGGG